Molecule: ribosomal RNA, 302 nt
Filed under: uncultured Synechococcus sp.
Lineage: Bacteria; Bacillati; Cyanobacteriota; Cyanophyceae; Synechococcales; Synechococcaceae
Description: partial 16S ribosomal RNA
Rfam family: Bacterial small subunit ribosomal RNA
Source: RNAcentral
CUACGGACAAAGGGCAGCAAGUUCGCGAGGACAAGCAAAUCCCAUAAACCGUGGCUCAGUUCAGAUCGUAGGCUGCAACUCGCCUACGUGAAGGAGGAAUCGCUAGUAAUCGCAGGUCAGCAUACUGCGGUGAAUACGUUCCCGGGCCUUGUACACACCGCCCGUCACACCAUGGAAGUUGGCCACGCCCGAAGCCGUUACUCCAACCCUUGUGGAGGAGGACGUCGAAGGUGGGGCUGAUGACUGGGGUGAAGUCGUAACAAGGCAUCCGUACCGGAAGGUGCGGAUGGAUCACCUCCUAA